UGCAGCGACGCCGCGUGGAGGAUGAAGGGUCUAGGCUCGUAAACUCCUUUUUCAGGGAAAGACUUAGGACGGUACCCUGAGAAUAAGGACCGGCUAACUACGUGCCAGCAGCCGCGGUAAGACGUAGGGUCCAAGCGUUGUCCGGAUUUACUGGGCGUAAAGAGCGCGUAGGCGGCUCGUUAAGUGUGAAGUGAAAUCUCCAGGGCUCAACCCGGAAACUGCUUUACAUACUGGCGAGCUAGAGGGAUGCAGAGGUUUGUGGAAUUCCUGGUGUAGCGGUGAAAUGCGUUGAUAUCAGGAGGAACACCCAUGGCGAAGGCAGCAAACUGGGCAUCAUCUGACGCUGAGGCGCGAAAGCGUGGGUAGCAAACAGGAUUAGAUACCCUGGUAGUCCACGCCCUAAACGAUGGAUACUAGGCGUAAGAGGUAUCGACCCCUCUUGUGCCGCAGCUAACGCAUUAAGUAUCCCGCCUGGGGAGUACGGCCGCAAGGUUGAAACUCAAAUGAAUUGACGGGGACCCGCACAAGCGGUGGAGCAUGUGGAUUAAUUCGAUACUAACCGAAGAACCUUACCCAGGUUUGACAUCGAUCGCAAGCCUUAGAAAUAGGGCCCUCCCCAAAAGGGACGU
This 629-nucleotide ribosomal RNA is filed under the name Armatimonadetes bacterium Se1Ps_605. RNAcentral's name for it is "bacterial SSU rRNA". It matches the Rfam family "Bacterial small subunit ribosomal RNA", at positions 387 to 1029 of the family's 1533-position model. The record is from RNAcentral. Lineage: Bacteria; Bacillati; Armatimonadota.